This 497-nucleotide ribosomal RNA is filed under the name uncultured bacterium. RNAcentral describes it as "partial 16S ribosomal RNA". It matches the Rfam family "Bacterial small subunit ribosomal RNA", at positions 28 to 507 of the family's 1533-position model. The record is from RNAcentral.
GAUGAACGCUGGCGGCGUGCCUAAUACAUGCAAGUCGAGCGAACAGACGAGGAGCUUGCUCCUCUGACGUUAGCGGCGGACGGGUGAGUAACACGUGGAUAACCUACCUAUAAGACUGGGAUAACUUCGGGAAACCGGAGCUAAUACCGGAUAAUAUAUUGAACCGCAUGGUUCAAUAGUGAAAGACGGUUUUGCUGUCACUUAUAGAUGGAUCCGCGCCGCAUUAGUUAGUUGGUAAGGUAACGGCUUACCAAGGCGACGAUGCGUAGCCGACCUGAGAGGGUGAUCGGCCACACUGGAACUGAGACACGGUCCAGACUCCUACGGGAGGCAGCAGUAGGGAAUCUUCCGCAAUGGGCGAAAGCCUGACGGAGCAACGCCGCGUGAGUGAUGAAGGUCUUCGGAUCGUAAAACUCUGUUAUUGGGGAAGAACAAAUGUGUAAGUAACUAUGCACGUCUUGACGGUACCUAAUCAGAAAGCCACGGCUAACUACGUG